Molecule: ribosomal RNA, 467 nt
Filed under: uncultured bacterium
Lineage: Bacteria
Description: partial 16S ribosomal RNA
Rfam family: Bacterial small subunit ribosomal RNA
Source: RNAcentral
GACGAACGCUGGCGGCGUGCUUAACACAUGCAAGUCGAACGGAAAGGCCUCUUUCGGGGGGUACUCGAGUGGCGAACGGGUGAGUAACACGUGAGUAACCUGCCCUUGACUUUGGGAUAACUUCAGGAAACUGGGGCUAAUACCGGAUAGGAGCUCCUGCUGCAUGGUGGGGGUUGGAAAGCUUCGGCGGUUGGGGGUGGACUCGCGGCGUAUCCGCGUGUUGGGGGGGUAGUGGCUUACCACGGCUUUGACGGGUAGCCGGCCUGAGUGGGUGACCGGCCACAUUGGGACUGAGAGACGGCCCAGACUCCUACGGGAGGCAGCAGUGGGGAAUAUUGCACAAUGGGUGGAAGCCUGAUGCAGCAACGCCGUGUGCGGGAUGACGGCCUUCGGGUUGUAAACCGCUUUCGCUCAUGACGAAGCUUUGUGUGACGGUAGUGGGUAAAGAAGCACCGGCUAACUACGUG